Molecule: ribosomal RNA, 461 nt
Filed under: uncultured bacterium
Lineage: Bacteria
Description: bacterial SSU rRNA
Rfam family: Bacterial small subunit ribosomal RNA
Source: RNAcentral
AUGAACGCUAGCGGCGUGGAUAAGGCAUGCAAGUCAAACGGUUCCGCAGCAAUGCGGAAUAGUGGCGAACGGGUUAGUAACACGUAGAUACUAACCCCACUCACGGGCAUAACUCCGCGAAAGCGGAGCUAAUUCCCGAUGGUCCCUGAAGCCGUAAGGCCGAAGGGUAAAGGCGUAAGCCGGAAUGGGAUUGGUCUGCGUCCUAUCAGCUAGUUGGCAGGGUAAUGGCCUACCAAGGCUACGACGGGUAGGGGGCAUGAGAGUGUGUUCCCCAACAAUGGCACUGCGAUACGGGCCAUACUCCUACGGGAGGCAGCAGUCGAGAAUAUUCGACAAUGGGCGAAAGCCUGAUCGAGCGACGCCGCGUACUUGAAGAAGCCCUUCGGGGUGUAAAGAGUUUUUUUCGUUGAAGAAGUCGCAAGACUGACAGUAAACGGAGAAUAAGGGGCUGCUAAUCACGU